AUGGAAUUCUGCAACUCCACCUUGGGAAGUGGCUUCAUCUUGGUGGGGAUUCUGGAUGACAGUGGUUUUCCAGAACUGCUCUGUGCCACUAUCACAUCCCUAUACUUUUUAGCCGUGACCAGUAAUGGACUGCUGCUGCUGGUCAUCACCAUGGAUGCCCGGCUCCAUGUGCCCAUGUACCUCCUGCUCUGGCAGCUCUCUCUCAUGGACCUCCUCCUCACAUCAGUCAUCACUCCAAAGGCUGUCAUGGAUUUUCUGCUCAAAGACAACACUAUCUCAUUUGGGGGCUGUGCCCUUCAGAUGUUUCUGGAACUAAUACUUGGUAGUGCAGAGGACCUCCUUCUGUCUUUUAUGGCCUAUGACAGGUAUGUAGCUAUCUGCCAUCCUCUGAACUACACAAUCCUAAUGAGUCAAAGAGUCUGCUGUCUCAUGAUAGCCACCUCAUGGAUUCUUGCUUCUCUCAGUGCUCUAGAAUAUAGCAUAUAUACCAUGCAAUAUCCUUUCUGUAAGUCCAGGCAAAUCAAACACCUGUUCUGUGAGAUUCCUCCCUUGCUGGAGCUGGCCUGUGCAGACACCUCCACAUAUGAACUCAUGGUUUAUGUGAUGGGUGUGAGUUUGCUCAUCCCCCCUCUUGCUGCCAUCCUGGCCUCCUACUCACUAAUUCUGUUCACUGUGCUCCACAUGCCCUCUAAUGAGGGCAGGAAGAAAGCCCUUGUCACCUGCUCUUCCCAUCUGACUGUGGUUGGGAUGUGGUAUGGGGGUGCUAUCGUCAUGUAUGUCCUGCCCAGUUCCUUCCACAGCCCCAAACAAGACAACAUCAGCUCAGUAUUUUAUACAAUUUUCACUCCCGCUUUGAAUCCUCUCAUCUACAGCCUAAGGAAUAAGGAGGUCACUGGGGCUUUGAGGAGAGUCCUGGGGAAAAAGGUUCGCAGUACAGUCUACAUUCUAG
This is a non-coding RNA of Arvicanthis niloticus (Nile rat), 949 nucleotides long. The record is from RefSeq and is a predicted model, not a curated record. Lineage: Eukaryota; Metazoa; Chordata; Mammalia; Rodentia; Muridae.